UCACCAGACUCCUACGGGAGGCAGCAGUGGGGAAUAUUGCACAAUGGGGGGAACCCUGAUGCAGCGACGCCGCGUGGGUGAAGGAGUCCUUCGGUACGUAAAGCCCUAUCGGCAGGAAAGAAAAUGACGGUACCUGACUAAGAAGCUCCGGCUAACUACGUGCCAGCAGCCGCGGUAAUACGUAGGGGGCAAGCGUUAUCCGGAUUUACUGGGUGUAAAGGGAGCGUAGACGGCAGUGCAAGUCCGGAGUGAAAGCCCAGGGCUCAACCCUGGGACUGCUCUGGAAACUGUAAAGCUGGAGUGCGGGAGGGGCAGGCGGAAUUCCUGGUGUAGCGGUGAAAUGCGUGGAUAUCAGGAGGAACACCGGCGGCGAAGGCGGCCUGCUGGACCGUAACUGACGUUGAGGCUCGAAAGCGUGGGGAGCAAACAGGAUUAGAUACCCCCGUAC
Molecule: ribosomal RNA, 448 nt
Filed under: uncultured bacterium
Lineage: Bacteria
Description: bacterial SSU rRNA
Rfam family: Bacterial small subunit ribosomal RNA
Source: RNAcentral